GGGCGUAAAGCGUGCGUAGGCGGCUUUUUAAGUCGGAUGUGAAAUCCCUGAGCUUAACUUAGGAAUUGCAUUCGAUACUGGGAAGCUAGAGUAUGGGAGAGGAUGGUAGAAUUCCAGGUGUAGCGGUGAAAUGCGUAGAGAUCUGGAGGAAUACCGAUGGCGAAGGCAGCCAUCUGGCCUAAUACUGACGCUGAGGUACGAAAGCAUGGGGAGCAAACAGGAUUAGAUACCCUGGUAGUCCAUGCCGUAAACGAUGUCUACUAGCCGUUGGGGCCUUUGAGGCUUUAGUGGCGCAGCUAACGCGAUAAGUAGACCGCCUGGGGAGUACGGUCGCAAGACUAAAACUCAAAUGAAUUGACGG
RNAcentral lists this ribosomal RNA (361 nucleotides) under uncultured bacterium. RNAcentral describes it as "bacterial SSU rRNA". It matches the Rfam family "Bacterial small subunit ribosomal RNA", at positions 556 to 916 of the family's 1533-position model. The record is from RNAcentral.